GGAGGGGUGGCCGAGUGGACGAAGGCGCGCGCCUGGAGAGCGCGUAGGGGUGUUCCUGCCCCUCGUGGGUUCGAAUCCCACCCCCUCCGCCA
Molecule: transfer RNA, 92 nt
Filed under: Chloroflexota bacterium
Lineage: Bacteria; Bacillati; Chloroflexota
Description: Chloroflexi bacterium (sediment metagenome) tRNA-Ser
Rfam family: tRNA
About the family: Transfer RNA (tRNA) molecules are approximately 80 nucleotides in length. Their secondary structure includes four short double-helical elements and three loops (D, anti-codon, and T loops).
Source: RNAcentral